This 253-nucleotide ribosomal RNA is filed under the name uncultured bacterium. RNAcentral's name for it is "partial 16S ribosomal RNA". It matches the Rfam family "Bacterial small subunit ribosomal RNA", at positions 524 to 776 of the family's 1533-position model. The record is from RNAcentral.
UACGUAGGGUGCGAGCGUUAAUCGGAAUUACUGGGCGUAAAGCGUGCGCAGGCGGUGGCUCAAGCCAGGCGUGAAAUCCCCAGGCUUAACCUGGGAACUGCGUCUGAUACUGGAUGGCUUGAGUUCGGGAGAGGGAUGCAGAAUUCCAGGUGUAGCGGUGAAAUGCGUAGAUAUCUGGAGGAAUACCGGUGGCGAAGGCGGCAUCCUGGACCGAGAUUGACACUGAUGAGCGAAAGCCAGGGGAGCAAACGGG